UACGUAGGGGGCUAGCGUUGUCCGGAUUUAUUGGGCGUAAAGAGCGUGUAGGCGGCCAGGUAGGUCUGGUGUGAAAACUCGAGGCUUAACCUUGAGAUGUCAUCGGAAACCAUUUGGCUAGAGUCCGGAAGAGGAAAGUGGAAUUCCCGGUGUAGUGGUGAAAUGCGUAGAUAUCGGGAGGAACACCAGUGGCGAAGGCGACUACCUGGCCUGUUCUUGACGCUGAGGCGCGAAAGCUAGGGGAGCAAACGGG
This 253-nucleotide ribosomal RNA is filed under the name uncultured bacterium. RNAcentral describes it as "partial 16S ribosomal RNA". It matches the Rfam family "Bacterial small subunit ribosomal RNA", at positions 524 to 776 of the family's 1533-position model. The record is from RNAcentral.